RNAcentral lists this ribosomal RNA (708 nucleotides) under Salmonella enterica subsp. enterica serovar Heidelberg. RNAcentral describes it as "partial 23S ribosomal RNA". It matches the Rfam family "Bacterial large subunit ribosomal RNA", at positions 1 to 1190 of the family's 2925-position model. The record is from RNAcentral. RNAcentral also lists the same sequence under 1 other name. Lineage: Bacteria; Pseudomonadati; Pseudomonadota; Gammaproteobacteria; Enterobacterales; Enterobacteriaceae.
CCACCACUAAGCCAGUGGUGAACUCCACAUACGCAUCCUUUGCUGAGGAUACGGUUAACGGAGCGAAAGCGACGUUCAACCGCAAAAGAAGCAGAGGGGGCUUAGUGGUGGGGUGACUGCGUACCUUUUGUAUAAUGGGUCAGCGACUUAUAUUCUGUAGCAAGGUUAACCGAAUAGGGGAGCCGGAGGGAAACCGAGUCUUAAUUGGGCGUUAAGUUGCAGGGUAUAGACCCGAAACCCGGUGAUCUAGCCAUGGGCAGGUUGAAGGUUGGGUAACACUAACUGGAGGACCGAACCGACUAAUGUUGAAAAAUUAGCGGAUGACCUGUGGCUGGGGGUGAAAGGCCAAUCAAACCGGGAGAUAGCUGGUUCUCCCCGAAAGCUAUUUAGGUAGCGCCUCGUGAAUUCAUCUCCGGGGGUAGAGCACUGUUUCGGCUAGGGGGCCAUCCCGGCUUACCAACCCGAUGCAAACUGCGAAUACCGGAGAAUGUUAUCACGGGAGACACACGGCGGGUGCUAACGUCCGUCGUGAAGAGGGAAACAACCCAGACCGCCAGCUAAGGUCCCAAAGUCAUGGUUAAGUGGGAAACGAUGUGGGAAGGCCCAGACAGCCAGGAUGUUGGCUUAGAAGCAGCCAUCAUUUAAAGAAAGCGUAAUAGCUCACUGGUCGAGUCGGCCUGCGCGGAAGAUGUAACGGGGCUAAACCAU